Molecule: small nuclear RNA, 162 nt
Filed under: Spermophilus dauricus (Daurian ground squirrel)
Lineage: Eukaryota; Metazoa; Chordata; Mammalia; Rodentia; Sciuridae
Description: U1 spliceosomal RNA (ENSSDAG00000007394.1)
Rfam family: U1 spliceosomal RNA
About the family: U1 is a small nuclear RNA (snRNA) component of the spliceosome (involved in pre-mRNA splicing). Its 5' end forms complementary base pairs with the 5' splice junction, thus defining the 5' donor site of an intron.
Source: Rfam by way of RNAcentral
AUACUUCCCUGGCAGAGGAGACCCCAUGAUCAUGAAGGUGGUAUUUCCAGAGUGAGACCUAUCCAUUGGACUCUAGAUGUGCUGACUCCUGUAAUUUCCCCCAAAGUGGGAAACCUGACUACAUAAUUUGUGGUAGUGGGGUGUUAUGUUGGUACUCCCCAC